Ahaetulla prasina is the source of this 11195-nucleotide RNA transcript. It is a transcript of the gene named Rho guanine nucleotide exchange factor 12, with no coding region annotated. The transcript has 42 exons. The record is from RefSeq and is a predicted model, not a curated record. Lineage: Eukaryota; Metazoa; Chordata; Lepidosauria; Squamata; Colubridae.
UGGAGACAAUUUGAGAUAAGUUGUUUCAUACCAUUUCAUUGCUUUUAUAUCAGUUAUUUUCAUGUUUACCUUUUGCUUUUUGCUGAAGCUUCUUUAUUUUGAUUUUUAAUUUGCUGACCGUUCAGGAUGAAUGGAUGCCCAGCAAUAAAGCAUACUAAUUCUUUCUGGUAGGAAUAUUUCCGGAAGAGCAAUAUAAAUAACUAUACUAUAAUCCAUUUUGCUGCUCUGCUAACACCACAGUACAGUAAAUACUGGGAGGGAAAACUGAUGAAACUCCACCUCCUUUUUCCUGUCUCCCGACUGAUUAAAAGCCUUCAUUGAUUUUAAAGCAUCUCUUUAAAGAAACCAUCAAAACCAGAUAGAUAGCAGGUUUUUGUUUUGUUUUUUUAAAGAUUUUGAGUGGAAUGACUUUUCCUGGAUAAUUUUUUUAAAACCCCAGGUAAACUCCAAGUCUUCGUUUCCUUAUAUCAGAUGCAGUUUUUUAAAAAAAGGCUGGGAAAUAGCUUAUCUUGAAAGUAUAUGGCAAGCAAUGUAUAUAACAGUAGUUAGUAUAUGUAUUCUGUGUAGCUAGGUUAUCAUUGUGCAUUCGCUUUUCUGAGAGAUGGUUUCUAUUUUGUGAAAGCAUAUUUUGCUCUUGGUAGCCUCUGUUUGAGAACAAAGCUUUUGACAGCCAAGAAAGAUGUCUUGCAUGGAGGAAGCAGGCAGCAAUACUGUUUUCUUGAUCAGAGAUUCUGAGCUGAAUGCAAACCUUUAUCCUGCUUUGUAAGAACUCGCUUGCCAGCUUUUGUGAUUUAGCCAUACGCAAGGCUGGUUAAUGUCUCUGUGGUAGUUAUUGUUCAGUGUUAGUAAAUGAUUAUAAUGGUAUUGAAUAUCGUAUUUGUCUUUAACAACGUUGUAAGAGGGAAACACUGUGCUUAGUAAUCAAAGCGGCUAAUUUAAUAGGAAUGAACCAGGGACUAUGGGGAUUUUUGGAAAACAAAUGUUAUAUAGUCUGUAAUCUAUUUUAAUUUGACAAUUUCAAAAUUGGAUCAGUGGAGUUUUGCAAGUAAACCCCUUUGAGAUAUGAUUACUGGCUGGGUUAAUUAUUGUUGCUUUAAAAAAAACAGUCUGCAAAUUAGGUUGCCAGUUUGUAUAUUUUAUUAGGUUGUCAGUUUGUAGAUUUAAUAAUAUUACUGGUCCAGAAUUUGAACAGCUAAUUUGAAAGAUUCUAUUGUCAAUAUGUGUCAUAAUACUGCUGAUGCAAGGCUCUGUGAUGCUUUGUGACAGCAUGGGAAGUAUCUGUAUCCAUUUGCAAUUAUCACAGUUAAUGCAUGUCUCAGCAGGUGGCAACACCUCACUCACCUUAGCUCAGAAAUAUUGGACCUGGUAGUAUGUGGAUAGGAGACCACCAGCGAGUACAUUCAAGGCUAGACAGGGAAAUUGAAAAAACUUCCUGUAAGUAGACAGUAGCGAACCACACCUAUACUGUUGCCAUUACUUAAUGUUUCUACUAAGUUACCAGCAAUCAACCUGACUUAAAAGAGACUUCACUUUUAUCUUUGCCUGUUAAAGCAUCGAAGUGAAUUACUGUAGAUACACUGAGUAGUAGAGGGAUGCUGUGAACUAAUUUGAUUUAAAGUAAUUUUUUUUUAGAAGAAACAGAGGAAGCAUAUUCUUUCCUAGAAAAACACCAUUCCAGUUACUCUUGUCUUUAAAAUCGUUCACUAGAUAAGGCAUUAUAAAUCUUCCACUUUCUUUCAAUUAGUAACAGCAAAGAUUUUUGUAUUGCAUAAGAUGAUCUUUUUUUAGCUUUAGAAGCUUUAGAGCUCAAAUAAAUUUGAGCUGAGUUAGAGAUCAUAUGCUUUUUAAAUGUCAGUUCCAGUAUCUUCAGGCAAAACUAGAUAGGGUGUCUGUGUCGGAUUUUAGAGAAGUGCCACUCAGGGCAGAAAAUACUGAUCUAAAUAGACCCAUGAUCUGACUUGAUAGGAGCAAGAUCUUGGCUAUUAUUCAAAUGAAAUAAUAUGCUCUUUACAUCCUACAUUUUAUGGUUUAUUUGGGCAUUAGUGUAGUGUCUUGCUUCUCUUACCUUAUCCUCUGUCUUCAAAAUCCUCUUUUUAUUUUAUUCAUAGGUUAUUCAACAGGACACUAUAUACUAUGCAAUAAAAUAGGUAGACUUCAAAACAAGAAAAAUCAAUCUAUAUUAUGGUUUCCCCUCAAAAAACCUACAAGGCAUGGCAGCAUUCUGAGCAGAGAGUCUCCAGCAGACAAGAAGCAGAAGGUCGAACGCUGCAUUAGUGCCCAUGAUUUUGACCCAACAGAUAGCUCCUCCAGGAAGACAAAGUAUAGCUCAGAGGAGAGUAGAUCCGAGACAUAUGGUCUAGUUCAACGAUGCGUUAUUAUUCAGCGGGAUGAAAAUGGAUUUGGGUUAACAGUCAGUGGUGACAAUCCAGUCUUUGUACAAUCUGUCAAGGAAGAUGGAGCAGCCAUGCGGGCUGGGGUUCAAACUGGUGACCGAAUCAUUAAGGUGAAUGGAACUCUGGUAACACAUUCCAACCAUUUAGAGGUGGUUAAGCUGAUAAAGUCGGGUUCCUAUGUAGCGCUCACUGUGCAGGGGCGCCCACCUGGGUCGCCCCAGAUUCCACUGGCCGAUUCUGAGGUGGACUCAGCUGCCUUUGGGCAUAUGUCUCCCAUCAUGACCUCACCUCACUCCCAUGGAUCCUAUGGAAACACAGAGAGAAUUACCAGUCCAGUGCUGAUGGGGGAGGAAAAUAACAUUGUUCACAACCAGAAAGUAGAGAUUUUGAGGAAGAUGCUGCAGAAAGAACAGGAACGACUUCAGUUCCUGCAGGAAGACUACAGCCGCGCUCCGGCUCCCCGACUGCUCAAAGAAAUCCAGGAAGCCAAGAAGCAUAUUCCUCAAUUGCAGGAGCAGUUGUCCAAAGCAACAGGCUCUGCUCAGGAUGUCGUUUUGUCUUCCAAAUCUAUAUCCGAAUCUUUGCAGAUCACUGAGGUGGAAGCUGAGAGGGGGGAUGGGCCAAACAAAGGAGAUUGUCAUUUUGGUGAUGGCCCCCAGGUGAAUGACACAGCGGAGAGUCCUCGCAGUGUCUUGAAAGAGCACAGCUAUCUGGAUGACAGCCCAGAGAAGACUGAGACUCAUGAAACAGAUUCUCCAUCCAGCCUUGGAAGCCCUUCCUCUCGUGUGGCACCUCCAAUCAUAGGAGCAGAAGAUGAUGACUUCGAUGGUGAACAAGAACAGAUCAACGGGCAAUGUAGCUGUUUCCAGAAUAUUGAGUUACUGAAAUCACGACCCGCUCACCUGGCUGUCUUUUUGCAUCACGUUAUUUCCCAGUUUGACCCGGCUUCUUUGCUCUGUUACCUGUUUGCGGACCUGUACAAACAAACAAAUUCCAAAGAGACUCGCCGAGUGUUUGCUGAAUUUAAUCAAUUUUUUCUGGAUCGAGCUGCAAAUCUAAAAGUCCCAGUUCCAGAUGAAAUUGCAAGUGAUUUAGAAAAGAGAAGGCUGGAAUUAAUUCCUGAAGAAUUGCACCGCCACUGUAUUCAAGCUAUGCAAGAAAAAGUGUUUCUCGAAGUACAAAAGCACCUUGAAGAUUUUAGACAGAAACGCAGCAUGGGUCUCACGCUGGCAGAAGGAGAGCUGACCAGGCUGGAUGCAGAACGUGUUCGGGACCGGAUGACCUUAGAGAAGGAGAGAGCGUGCGCAGAGCAAAUCCUGACUAAAAUUGAAGACGUGCUGAUGUCAUCUCAGCCUAUAGAAGAGGAUAAGAGUUCAGCUAUACAGUAUGUUGUUCUCACCUACAUGAAGCACCUUGGUGUACGUGUUAAAGAACCCCGGAACCUCGACCAAAAACGGGGACGGAUUGGAUUCCUGCCAAAGAUAAAGCAAAGUAUGAAGAAAGAUAAGGAAGGGGAUGAAAAGAAGAGGAGAGUCUUCUCAAAUAUCCUGGGACCUCCAAGGAGGCCGAGCCGCCAUGACAGUUAUGCAAUAGGCAGAGCCAUGGAGAUACAAAAACUACGCCAUCCAAAGCACUUAUCUUCCUCGUCUUCGGUCAGCCCGGAACCGCCAGAUGUGGUCAAGUUGCGUCAAAGUGGGAUCAGUGAUGGCAUGGAUUCAGCCUUCCAGCCUGCUAACUUGGUAUCUCCAGCAGUUUCCGGAACGUUCCCAUCUCAGGAAGGGAGCAAAGAUGGCGAAACGGGGCCAAAACAAGUUGGAGAAGCAAUUAAUCCUGGUGAUUCUGUGGACGGCACACCUUGUACACCUAGCGUCAUAUUUGAUUUCCCAUCUCCUCCCCUGGAUCAUUUGCAAGAAGAAGAAGGAGAAGUUGAUAGGUUAGGAGAAUCAGGGACUCCAAAACCUUUCCGCAAGGUGGACAGUGUGAGUGCUGGGGAUGUCCACAGUGAAGAUGAGCUCUUCGAUUUCGACAUGGAGACCGACCAGCCCAACUGGCAGCAGCUGGUGAGCCGUGAAGUGUUGCUUGGCUUGAAACCAUCUGAAAUUAAACGCCAGGAAGUGAUUAAUGAAUUAUUCUACACUGAACGUGCUCAUGUCCGUAAGCUGAAAGUCCUGGAUCACUUGUUCUAUCAGCGUGUGUCUCGCGAAGGGAUUCUGACAGCUCCUGACCUGCGGAAAAUAUUUUCGAACCUGGAGGAUAUCCUCCAGCUUCAUACUGGACUGAAUGAGCAGAUGAAAGCAGUGAGGAAAAGAAACGAGACAUCUGUAAUUGAUCAAAUUGGAGAAGAUUUGUUAACUUGGUUCAGUGGAGCAGGCGAGGAGAAAUUGAAGCAAGCCACGGCUACCUUCUGUAGCAACCAACCUUUUGCUCUUGAGGUGAUCAAGUCACGGCAAAAGAAGGACUCUCGCUUCCAGACUUUUGUCCAGGAAGCUGAGAGCAAUCCGCUGUGUCGCCGAUUACAGCUAAAAGAUAUCAUUCCCACUGAGAUGCAACGGCUCACCAAGUAUCCCCUCUUGCUGGAUAAUAUUGCAAAGUACUCAGAGCAACCUUUAGAGAAGGAAAAAGUGAAGAAAGCAGCAGAUCAUUGUCGGCAGAUUCUCAAUUUUGUGAACCAAGCUGUCAAAGAAGCCGAGAACAAGCAGCAUUUGGAGGACUACCAGCGGCGGCUUGAUUUGUCCUACCUGAAGCAGGUGGAGGGCCCUUUGCUGGAUGAAUUCAGGAAUUUAGAUCUAACGAAGAAGAAAAUGAUUCAUGAAGGGCCUCUGACUUGGAAGGUGAAUCGUGACAAAACUAUUGAUCUCUAUACAUUGCUCUUGGAAGAUAUUCUGGUAUUGUUGCAGAAGCAAGAUGACAGACUGGUGUUGAGAUGUCACAGCAAGAUCCUGGCUAAUACAGCUGAUAGCAAGCACACAUUUAGCCCUGUUAUUAAAUUAAACACCGUCUUGGUUCGCCAAGUGGCUACAGAUAAUAAAGCAUUCUUUGUCAUUUCCAUGUCGGAGAAUGGAGCCCAGAUUUAUGAACUGGUGGCACAGACAGUUUCUGAAAAGACAGUAUGGCAGGACCUCAUAGUACGGAUGGCAGGAACCGUCAAAGUUGGAAGAGGCAGAAAUGUAAUUCCAUUGCCACAAUCGGGACCAUGCGAGGAGGACCAUGAGGAAGAAGAUGACCAGCAUAAAUUGAAGGAAGAACAGACGAGCCCAGAUAGCAGCAAACAAAGUCCAGAUAAAGAUUUGGGGCUGAAGACUCCGUCUCCUUCAGUGACCAUGUCUGAGAAGUCAGAAGAGGAAGAACUUCUGGAAGCCAACAAGCAGUUUGGAGAAAAACUACCAACAGACUUACUGAUCAAAGAGUCACCGGAACAUUACAGCCAAAGUAGUCCAGAGCUCUUAUUCCAAACAUCAGAAAAUCGAUGGGCGUUGGAUGCACUAAGAAACUUGGGUUUAUUGAAGAAAUUACUGAUGCAGCAGCUUGGCAUGUCUGAACAAGCGUCCCUUGAAGACUGGCAUCCUUUUUCUGACCAUAGAAGAGAUCUGCCAGGGGCCCCUGAGGAGAACAUUGUCAAGAGAGGACUUCAGUACUCGGAUAACGAUGACACUACCCUGUCUGGGCCUGAAAGGACACCCACGGGGACAAAAACAAAUGACUUUGAACUUAGUUGUGAUAAAUGGCCUUCGAACGAAUUGGUAUCACCAGGGGACCCUGCGUUGCAUAGCAGGCAGUUGAUGGACCCCUUGAGAACAAAUCCAGAGCCCACAGCCAAGGAACUGGAAGGAGGAACCAGUGCUGCGGAUGAUGGUGGGGAGCACUUUUUUGAUGCUCAGGAAGCUCACGGUGAAGAGAACCCAUCAGAAGGUGACGUGGUAGAUGGGAAGGAGGUAGAAGAGGUGCAGCUACGGAUCUCAGGAAAUUAUUUGAUCCUUGAUGGAUAUGGCACAGUACAGGAGAGCUCCACCGACGAAGAGGUACCUUCGCUCGUUCUACAGUGCACUGCAGACAAAAGCACAAUGGACUCUGCCCACCAGCAACCCAGGUCUCGGGAUGGCCAGCCAGUGACAGCCAGCUCACCCUUGGCAGAGGAAUUGCUGGCCUCCCACUGGCAAGCCGCCAAGGAAUCCAGUUCAGAUGCGUUACGGGCUUCCUUCUCCGUCGAGUCGCGUACCCUGAUGAUGCGUUAUAUCCAGAACAUAGAGGCCAGCCUUCAGCGUUUGAAGGAAGUGGAGGAAAACUACGCUGCUCUUCAGCAUCGGCUGUCUGGCUCCAUCACCACAGAUGAGCAUUCGGAUAAAAGUUAAUCACCUUCUUGCCAAUCGCUGGAGAUUGGACGGAGCCUUCUGCCUUGAGUCAGCCUCUGCUAGCCUCAGCCGGCCUCUGCCUGGACUCUCUUGGCCUUAGGCCUCUUUCAAUGGACCCUUAAUCGGGAGGGGGCUCCACAUAGUGGAGAAGGGGGCAGUUUUUUUCCUUUGAGGUGUCUGCACUAGCCUUUCAGGGAGAGGGGGGGUGAUUUUAGUUCCCCUCCUCUUGCUACCAGAAAUUCUUUUUGAUUCCAAACAGAGGAAAAAAGAGGAACAGAAAGAAGAAACCAAAUGUAUAAAGUUCUGGGUGUAGGAUAUAUAAAAAAAAAUGUAUCUAUACAUUAAAAAAAAUCAAUGUAUUUAUUUGACUUCAUUCCGUGUACUGAAAGCACACUUUAACUUGUAUUUUAUUUUGCUUUAAAAAAAAAAAAAGAUAGUGCCAGUUUGCUAGGUUCCCAGCAUCUUUCUUCUUCUCCUGAACCCCUUACUCUGAACUGAGGUGUGUGUGUGUGUAUGUGUGUGUCUGUCUUGAUUUUCCCACUGGAUUCUGCCAACAAUAAGUCUGUUCCUCAGAAAGGUCUUUUUGUGUGUGUGUGUGGAGCGAAAUCUAGCAGCAGGCAGGUGGCCUUUCUUGUGCACUACGUAGCCAGGGAAGGAUUUCAAACUGGCAACCAAAUUUCUCUUUGGGUGGGGAAUGCCUCUAUUUUUCCUGUAUUGAAUUAAAGAGAGAGAAGGAUCAGAAUUUGGGAGCUGUGUUCCCUGCCCAGGUACUGAUUUUAUGGUGAUUUCCCUUGGAAAGCAACAGCUCGAUAUUUGUAGCUUGGGAUGGGAGGGUAAAGCAGCAAUACACUUGUCAGAAAUUCCUGAGGCCCCCAUGUUUCUAAUGAACUGCGAGGAGGAACUGCUGCAGAAGUUAGCCACUACGUUUGGAAAGUAAGCGCCAGAAUUGUUCAGUAUCCAGAAGUGUGCCUUACUGACCGGUGUGGGGUAGUAGACCGAGCGAGACCUAGCUUAGAAUAGUGCUAUUUUGUUUUUCCUUUUUAUGCAAAAAAAUGCUCUGAAAUCACACCAGGAACAUCUACAGUAGGAAGAAUCAUAGGAACAGACACCAACUCUGGUAUAAUAAUCUCAACGCAGGGCUGAUAUCCUGAUGGAGCUCUCCCUUUUCAAGCUUUAUGGCAUUGAGGUAGAAAAUGAAGACACUGGGUGGGUUGUCUGCUUUGGGCAGUUUUUCCAUUCAGGAUACAUCUCACUUGGGGGAAAAAAGUUUCUCCCAGUAGCAGCUGUGCAAUCCUUGGGCCCUUUCUUUUUCCUGGCAAGCCAGCUCUAAAUGUGCCAAAUUCUAGCAAUCCCUUUCAUGUUUUAAAACCAUGCUGAAUGCACUGUAGAGUGUGGAGUAUCUUCCUCCUCCUCCUCCUCCUCCUCCUCCUCCUCCUCCUCCUCCUCCUCCUCCUCCUCCUCCUCCUCCUCCUCCUCCUCCUCCUCCUCCUCCUCCUCUCCACCACGAGUGUCAUAGAAUAUGCUCCAUUAAUGCAGAAAAACAUUUCCCCCCCCCAUUGCCAGGAAUCCAGAUUCAUUUCCACUUACAGGGAAGAGCUGUAAGAGCAGGAACUAUUUUUGAAUUUCCCCCCACCCCACCUCCUUUCCCUAAUCUUUCCAAUCAAAAGUACUGGCGCAUAUCGAAAGCAGGAACUUCCUACUUGUCUGGGUCACAAAGUAUUUGGGUCUGAAGCCACCAAACACUCAAAAGGAAUUCUUUUCGGUUUCUUGCUAUCGGGGCCCAGCCUGCUGAUUCUCGGUUCUAAAUCCCUCCCUCCUAAAAUUCCAAGCAAUUUCCCAAAUGGAAAAUUUAUGUUCAGAAGAUCAGACCUAUAAAAAUAUUCCCCUAUUUUUCAAAGGUGUUUUUAGUCACUUCUGAGCGAGAUGGGCAGCAAAGACUUCUAGCAAAUGCUUUUUCUCCUUGAUCCCAGAACACACGUUCCCACCUUCCCAUGCUUCAGUUCCACAUCCGUGAAGCCAUGGGAAGUCGGAUCCAGAUGUAGACCUUUCCCUAAUACAGGGAAGUAGGUGAAGGAGCCAGAAAUCGGUAAAUUCUUGUUGACACUUGGAUGCCACUCUUUACAGAUAUUGUGGCAAGACCAGUAUCUGAUCCUCUGCCAUACCUCGGCCACAGGGUGCUUCAGCAUCCUGAAAAAGAGAUAUCAGGUCAGGAUAUGCCAAAGGGUUUGCCAAGCAGCUGAAGGGCCUGUUUGACCUCUAAAGAGGACAGAUCAUUUGCCUUUCUCCCACCCCCCACCCCCCUUCCUGGAGAGCAAAGCAGAGUAUCAUGUUCUUGUCUUCCUAGCGGUUUCUUUGUAUCGUAUGAGUGUGUGUGUGUGUGUUUUGUCCAGGCUUCUCUAGGCCACCUAUUAUACAAUCUCCUGUUAAGGGCAUUAUUAUUUUAUGAUAAGAAAGAGAAAGUAGUGAGAAAUGGGGAUUACCAACUGCUAUAGCAUCAUAACUAUAUGCGAUAGUAGACUAUCGCAGGAGAUGUCCCUUGCACAUCUACUGUACAACAGGCCCCGAACACCGAUCCGUUUUUAUGAAAAGGGUCAACCCUAAAAAAUGCACUUUGUGGGAUUCCCAUUGGUGUUCAACUUUUGGAUCCUUAAUGUUCUAGAACAGCCAUGAGGAAUUCCAGCCAAAGAGACCUUCCCUGUCCUUCCCUACUGGCUGUGAUCAUGUCUUCCUUGGGCCCAUCUUUUUUCUUUCCUUCCUUCCCUUCCCUUCCCUUCCCUUCCUUCCUUUUCUCAUUCUCACCACCCACCCACCCUUGGCUAGCUGAAAAUAAUAUAAGCAAUGAAAGGCUUUUUUUUAAACCAGAGAAUAUUAUGUUGUUUAUGCUACCAUCAUAUUUAGAACGUCUUUGUUUUUAACUUGGAUUUAUUGGACUAGCAUAUUAGAAUUUGGGCUCAAGAAGGCAAACUCUGAAUCUAAAGACAGCUUCCUUCCUUCUUGGUUUGCAUGUCCUUUGACUGUACACCCAAGACUAGGUUUAUAACUUUGGCGAGUUUAAGACAUGUGGAUUUUUAACUCCCAGAAUUCCCCAGCUGGCAUUGCUGCUGGGGGAUUCUGGGAGUUGAAGUCCACACGUCUUAAAAGUGGCCAAGGUUCAGAAACAUUGCCCAAGAUGAAGAGAGUUGGAGGAUUCUGAUGGGAUGGUGGAUUGCUUGGCCUUAGGGUUGUCCCGAGCCAUCAGAAGUUAUACAAUUCAUUAAAAGGAUUCUGCUUUCCAAUCCUUCCAUCUUUUGCAGCAAUGGUGCUUUAAUCUGCCAGAGGCCGCUCAUUAGCUCUGACUUCUCCACUUCUUACUUUCCAGUUGACUAAAUCAGCACUGAACAGCCACGUCUCAAGGCCUGGCAGACUGUGAAGCCCGUGUUCCAUUCUUUAAAUGUUUCUCCCAUGGCCCUGCCGAUGGUUGAAAGAGGCUGAAAAUAAGGAUUCCCAGUCCUGCCUUGGAGACCCCUGACCUGGGUCAUUCUAACCCCUCAACGCUCUACCAGCUCCUCUGUGUCUUCCUUUGGUGGCUAUGUAGAUGCUAUCUCGUCACUGAUUCACUACGUGACGAAUCAAAGUCAGAUUGUCUUCCCUCGUUUUUUUUUGGGGGGGGCAUUUAUGUUUUGCAUAAUAGUCCUGACUGUUGUGCCCGAGUUCCUCCCAGAAAAUAUUGAUAGCUUCUGAGAAAAAGGAGACCCUGAACAACUAAAGUGCAAAGAGAGGUUGCCUAGGUGAAAGACCCAUACAGUAUUAUCUUUUACUCUGCCAUAUGUCAGGAGAACUUUUUUUGGUUUCAGUAGAAAAAAACCCUACUUUAUUGAUGCUCUUUCCUCAUUUAGAAUCUCAAUGCCGGUUGUACAUUUGAUGAGUGACUUGCAUCUCCCUCUUCCUCUCUCUCUUCCAUUCCAAAGAAAUCCCUACUUGCUCUUGUUCCCCUCUUCACACACACACACACACACACACACAUCGCACCAAUUUAUAGGCAGAUGCUGUGGAAAAGGAUUCUGCAGCUGGAAUGUUACUCUGCUCUUCUGUUUUUUUUUUCUUUUUUAAAAAAUGGAAUUGUUUGUUGUAAUGCUCUAACUGCUAGAACUGUAUUUUAUUUGCUUGCCAUGCAUUUACUCCUUUUAACAGAUUCUGCUUUUAAGGAAAAACACAAGACACCAAUCUGAAAAUACUCUUUGAAAGGAAAAUGCAAAAACCAACCAACCAACCAACCAACAAAAGGACAACAACAAUAAGACAGAUCGAAUAUCCUGUAUUUUUAACUGAUCAUGUUUGAAUGUCUAAGGAAAAAAAAAAGAAUUUAUUGUUCUAAUUAUCCAGAUGUAUGUAUGUUUGUAAAAUAGCUCUUAUUAGCUGAUAAGGUUGUAUGUUUUUGGAACAAAAUAUUGAUCAUUAAAAAAGUAUUGAGUUU